Meriones unguiculatus (Mongolian gerbil) is the source of this 257-nucleotide long non-coding RNA. RefSeq lists it as uncharacterized. The record is from RefSeq and is a predicted model, not a curated record. NCBI's taxonomy places the organism in Eukaryota, Metazoa, Chordata, Mammalia, Rodentia, Muridae. The transcript has 2 exons.
CAGGUUCUCCCAGGAUCCUUCAGUCCCUACCUUCUAAAGGGAUUCCUCCAUGGUAACUUCCAUGGCCUUAUUCCUUGGGAACUGGGAACCCUCUGAGAACUGUUUGCAUAAGCUUGCAAGUAAAUAUUUACCAUGUCUUCAAUUAGCAAAUAUUACCUGUGGGAAGAAAGAAACAGCAUAACAUUAUAUAAUCAUCACUGGUCAAAAUUUGUCACACUGAAUAAAUAUGUGAAUAUGUUUCCAGUUUUUAUUAAUAA